UUGCGUAAAUUAGAGCUUUAUAGUCUUGAAAAACUAAAUUGCGUGGCGGCUUAGCAACUAUAUAGAGAGGCAUGCUUUUUAAUCGAUACUACACGAAUAUCUUACUAAUUUCGCAAUUAACCAUUUUACACACCGCCGUCGGAAGAAUAGUUUUAGAGAACUGUUCUCUAUUUUAUCUUUGCAUGAACUUAAGAUUGUAAAAAUAAAAUAUAAGUCAGGUCAAGGCGUAGACCAUAAUUAGGUUAAAGUGUGACUCAUUAAUACCAUUAUGUCUUCAGUGUAUAUUUACAAUAGUUUUUACUAUUAAUGAAUAUCUUACUAGAGUAAAUGAAUUUAUAAGU
This 341-nucleotide ribosomal RNA is filed under the name Naubates heteroproctus. Its description in RNAcentral is "partial 12S ribosomal RNA". The record is from RNAcentral. Lineage: Eukaryota; Metazoa; Arthropoda; Insecta; Psocodea; Philopteridae.